UCCCAUUGUUUUAUUUACCCUGUUGCUUCCACUGGAUGAGUUUCCAUACCUUGUGUUUGAGAAACUUUGGCUUGUGUAAGAUUCAUUCACGGCCAGCCAGUGAGAAGACCAUUUACAAAACCCUGUUAAGAACCAAUUGUCUGAAUAUUUUACUCCAAUGAAAUGAAACUUUCAACAACGGAUCUCUAGGCUCUUGCAUCGAUGAAGAACGCAGUGAAAUGCGAUAAGUAAUGUGAAUUGCAGAAUCUCGUGAAUCAUCGAAUCUUUGAACGCACAUUGCGCCCCAUGGUAUUCCAUAGGGCAUGCCUGUCUGAGCGUCAGCUCACCCCCCCCUCACACUCAAGCAUCUAUUGUAUGAUGCUUGGAUUGCUUUGGAGAGGUAUCAUUUUAAAGUGAAGCCCUCCAGAAAUAUAUAGGCUGUAUGGUUUGCACUAGAACCAGACGUAAUAAUGAUAAAAUCGUCUAUUCUGGUAGAAUCAUUGUACUUGCCUUUGAAUCACCCAUUGAUUUUGGGUGACCUCAGAUCAGGUAGGGAUACCCGCUGAACUUAAGCAUAUCAAUAG
RNAcentral lists this ribosomal RNA (563 nucleotides) under uncultured Pezizaceae. RNAcentral describes it as "eukaryotic LSU rRNA". The stretch from base 167 to 320 matches the Rfam family "5.8S ribosomal RNA". The record is from RNAcentral. Lineage: Eukaryota; Fungi; Ascomycota; Pezizomycetes; Pezizales; Pezizaceae.